RNAcentral lists this ribosomal RNA (447 nucleotides) under uncultured bacterium. RNAcentral describes it as "bacterial SSU rRNA". It matches the Rfam family "Bacterial small subunit ribosomal RNA", at positions 355 to 825 of the family's 1533-position model. The record is from RNAcentral.
UGGGGAAUAUUGGACAAUGGGCGCAAGCCUGAUCCAGCCAUGCCGCGUGAGUGACGAAGGCCCUAGGGUUGUAAAGUCCUUUCGGUGGUGAAGAUAAUGACGGUAACCACAGAAGAAGCCCCGGCUAAUUUCGUGCCAGCAGCCGCGGUAAUACGAAGGGAGCUAGCGUUGUUCGGAAUCACUGGGCGUAAAGCGCACGUAGGCGGAUAGUUAAGUCAGGGGUGAAAUCCUGGGGCUCAACCCCAGAACUGCCUUUGAUACUGGCUGUCUCGAGGUCGAGAGAGGUUGGUGGAAUUCCUAGUGUAGAGGUGAAAUUCGUAGAUAUUAGGAAGAACACCAGUGGCGAAGGCGGCCAACUGGCUCGAUACUGACGCUGAGGUGCGAAAGCGUGGGGAGCAAACAGGAUUAGAUACCCGUGUAGUCCCUGAGCGGGCUGGCAAGGCGCAU